ACUAUUUUGGCAGAAAAAUGUAUUGAAUUUAGAAUUCAUUUAUGUAAAUAUAAUUUUACAGAUAGUA
This 67-nucleotide transfer RNA is filed under the name Anabropsis shii. RNAcentral's name for it is "tRNA-Leu". Lineage: Eukaryota; Metazoa; Arthropoda; Insecta; Orthoptera; Anostostomatidae. The record is from RNAcentral.